This 256-nucleotide ribosomal RNA is filed under the name uncultured bacterium. RNAcentral describes it as "partial 16S ribosomal RNA". It matches the Rfam family "Bacterial small subunit ribosomal RNA", at positions 524 to 776 of the family's 1533-position model. The record is from RNAcentral.
UACGUAGGGUGCAAGCGUUAUCCGGAAUUAUUGGGCGUAAAGAGCUCGUAGGCGGUUUUGUCGCGUCUGCUGUGAAAAACUGGAGGCUCAACCUCCAGCCUGCAGUGGGUACGGGCAGACUAGAGUGCGGUAGGGGGAGAUUGGAAUUCCUGGUGUAGCGGUGGAAUGCGCAGAUAUCAGGAGGAACACCGGUGGCGAAGGCGGCAUCCUGGACCGACAUUGACGCUGAACGGCGAAAGCUAGGGGAGCAAACGGG